This 449-nucleotide ribosomal RNA is filed under the name uncultured bacterium. RNAcentral describes it as "partial 16S ribosomal RNA". It matches the Rfam family "Bacterial small subunit ribosomal RNA", at positions 29 to 523 of the family's 1533-position model. The record is from RNAcentral.
AGCGAACGCUGGCGGCAGGCCUAACACAUGCAAGUCGAACGAAGUCUUCGGACUUAGUGGCGGACGGGUGAGUAACACGUGGGAACGUGCCUUUAGGUUCGGAAUAACUCAGGGAAACUUGUGCUAAUACCGAAUGUGCCCUUCGGGGGAAAGAUUUAUCGCCUUUAGAGCGGCCCGCGUCUGAUUAGCUAGUUGGUGAGGUAAAGGCUCACCAAGGCUACGAUCAGUAGCUGGUCUGAGAGGAUGACCAGCCACAUUGGGACUGAGACACGGCCCAAGCUCCUACGGGAGGCAGCAGUGGGGAAUUUUGCGCAAUGGGCGAAAGCCUGACGCAGCCAUGCCGCGUGGAUGAUGAAGGUCUUAGGAUUGUAAAAUCCUUUCACCGGUGAAGAUAAUGACUGUAGCCGGAGAAGAAGCCCCGGCUAACUUCGUGCCAGCCGCCGCCGUAA